This 260-nucleotide long non-coding RNA is filed under the name Vigna radiata. Its description in RNAcentral is "long non-coding RNA (VRAD_LNC011728)". The record is from RNAcentral. Lineage: Eukaryota; Viridiplantae; Streptophyta; Magnoliopsida; Fabales; Fabaceae.
AAACAAACAACUGUAAAAUAAAAUAAAAAAAUAAUAUUUUUUGCUACAAAUAACCAACAAAACUCAAAAACCCCCCAAAACCAAAAAAAAAAGAAAAAUGACCAACAAAUGUCAAAACCCAUAACCCAAAUACGAAUACGGGACAAAGAUAAAGUUCAUACCUUGUUUGAAAAACCAAUGUAACCUGACAAAUCGAUGACACAAAAAAGGUAAGAACUUUGACGAAAACGACACUCAAGAUCCAUAGAGAUUGCUCAAUC